RNAcentral lists this ribosomal RNA (468 nucleotides) under uncultured bacterium. RNAcentral describes it as "partial 16S ribosomal RNA". It matches the Rfam family "Bacterial small subunit ribosomal RNA", at positions 28 to 507 of the family's 1533-position model. The record is from RNAcentral.
GACGAACGCUGGCGGCGUGCUUAACACAUGCAAGUCGAACGGAAAGGCCCUGCUUUUGUGGGGUGCUCGAGUGGCGAACGGGUGAGUAACACGUGAGUAACCUGCCCUUGACUUUGGGAUAACUUCAGGAAACUGGGGCUAAUACCGGAUAGGAGCUCCUGCUGCAUGGUGGGGGUUGGAAAGUUUCGGCGGUUGGGGAUGGACUGGAGGCUUAUCAGCUUGUUGGUGGGGUAGUGGCGUACCAAGGGUUUGACGGGUAGCCGGCCUGAGAGGGUGAACGGCGACCAGGGGACUGCGAGACGGCCCAGACGCCUACGGGAGGCAGCAGUGGGGAACAUUGCACAAUGGGCGGAAGCCUGAUGCAGCAACGCCGCGUGCGGGAUGACGGCCUUCGGGUUGUAAACCGCUUUCGCCUGUGACGAAGCGUGAGUGACGGUAAUGGGUAAAGAAGCACCGGCUAACUACGUG